CUCCAUAAGUGACAGAUCAUGAUCUGCUUUGAUAAACACAGGAUGAAGUAUAAAAAGGAUCAGAUUUUAAAAGGUGGAGAUGUCAGACGUUUUCAGUUUUAGGAAGAGACAAAAUAUAGUUUAAUUAUUGACAUUAUCUUUAUUCUCCACAUGUGACAGAUCACGAUCUGCUUUCAGAAACACAGGAUGAAGUAUAAAAAUGAUCAGAUUUUAAAAGGUGGAGAUGUCAGACGUUUUCUGUUUUAGGAAUAGACAAAAAAAAAGAUUAAUUACUGACUUUACCUUUGUUUUCCAUAAGUGACAGAUCACGAUCUGCUUUCAUAAACAC
RNAcentral lists this unclassified non-coding RNA (328 nucleotides) under Bombus terrestris (buff-tailed bumblebee). Its description in RNAcentral is "misc RNA ENSBTSG00005038431.1". Lineage: Eukaryota; Metazoa; Arthropoda; Insecta; Hymenoptera; Apidae. The record is from RNAcentral.